ACAAUGAGAUUUUUAAAAAAAAAAUAGUAUAAGACUGUGGUGUGUGUGUGUGUGUGUGUGCGCCAAGAUGUUUCUGUAACAAAAUGGAACAAAAUGACAGAACUUCACUGUUUGAACUGUUGGAAACUGCUUGACAUGUGCACAGUUUGAAAGAUCCAACAAUAAUUCAUUUGAAUAAUAGAAGUUUUAGGGUACACUAGAUGUACAGUAUAUACAUAUAGCACAAAUACAUAGAAUAUAACUAAUUUUUCCAUUAAAAAACAGUUAUAAACUUUGAUUCAAACAAAAAAGCGUGGCAUUUAGUGUAUAGAGCCCAAGCUUAUUAUUAAGUUAUUAUCACUCUCAGUGUAUUAUUCCGUUACUGUCAGUCCUAAAGCUUAUUGUUUAAUUACUAUCAGUUUAGUUUAUUAUUAUUAUUAUUAAGUUUAUUAUUCAGGAAUAGUUUAGAGAGUUAUAAGAGCAGAGCAGUAUAAACAUAGAAUAAAAGUGCCUUUUUGGUUGAACGGUCAUUCAGAGAUAAAUGUGUAGGUUGUUUUUUUUUGUUUUUUUUUUAACUGUAUGUCAAUUUUGAAUUAUUUAUUAAAUAAUACUAAAUAUUUUGUACUUCUAUUAAUGUUAAUACACAUAUAUAUGUACUAUCCAUCUACCUGUCUAUCUAUCCAUCUAUCUAUCUUUCUGUCUUGAUCGUAGAUUAUUCUAGAUUAUUUUGUUUCUUUUAUCACAAAACAGAAAAAUACCAAUUUAUGCCUAUUUCAUAUUUUUUUUAAAAAUAUAUAUAUAUAUUAUUUAAACACACACCUUUUAGAUUCCUCUUUCAUUCCUUGGCAUUUCCCCAAUAUUUUAUUAUAAUUUGAUUUUGUUACAUCAUCCCUGCUGUUUUUUUGCUCUUUAUCUAUUAUCAAUAUUUGUUUGCUAUUAAUCAGUUAUCUAUUAAUGCCUACUGUAGAAGUCCCAUAGGGUCAUACUAUUUGCUUUUUUUUCCCCACCGCUCUCUUAUGUUCCUCCCAUUUGAACCCAGGAAUACCCUGCUCUUGCCUGAAUCAUGUUUCCUGCUUGGAUAUGAUGUAUUUUCUCAGGGAUUUUUUUAAGCAGUCUUUACCGUAGGUCUUUCCAGGGUUGAGCCAUCACCUUUGUGGUUGAUCCCUCCCGCCUCUCUCAUGGACUCUUCACUACCAGACGUAGCAACAGGUUUCCUGACUCUAUAUGGCCAAAAGAUUGUGGAAACCUGACCAACCUGAAAUUGUAAUGAUACAGCAUACAGAGACUUCUCCCCUCUUCAUCCUCUGCUUUCUCUCUCCCUCGCUCUCGUGUCUCCCCCUACCCAUUCACAAAGACGGACGCAUCGGACAGGGGGUUGGGGGUCGUAUUGUCCCAGGUAGUGUAGGGGUUGGAGUACCCCGUGCUGUACAUCAGCCAUAAGCGCUCCAUGCGAGAGACGAAGUACAGCACAAUAGAGAAGGAGUGCCUGGC
Long non-coding RNA from Ictalurus punctatus (channel catfish), 1470 nucleotides. RefSeq lists it as uncharacterized. The transcript is spliced from 3 exons. The record is from RefSeq and is a predicted model, not a curated record. NCBI's taxonomy places the organism in Eukaryota, Metazoa, Chordata, Actinopteri, Siluriformes, Ictaluridae.